CCCUUCGUAGUUCAAUGGAUAGAACAUGAGUUUGCGGAACUUAAAAUGCAAGUUCGAUUCUUGCCGUGGGGACAA
Molecule: transfer RNA, 75 nt
Filed under: Bacteroidia bacterium
Lineage: Bacteria; Pseudomonadati; Bacteroidota; Bacteroidia
Also listed under: 1 other name
Description: tRNA-Arg
Rfam family: tRNA
About the family: Transfer RNA (tRNA) molecules are approximately 80 nucleotides in length. Their secondary structure includes four short double-helical elements and three loops (D, anti-codon, and T loops). Further hydrogen bonds mediate the characteristic L-shaped molecular structure. tRNAs have two regions of fundamental functional importance: the anti-codon, which is responsible for specific mRNA codon recognition, and the 3' end, to which the tRNAs corresponding amino acid is attached (by aminoacyl-tRNA synthetases). tRNAs cope with the degeneracy of the genetic code in two manners: having more than one tRNA (with a specific anti-codon) for a particular amino acid; and 'wobble' base-pairing, i.e. permitting non-standard base-pairing at the 3rd anti-codon position.
Source: RNAcentral